GGAACAGGAAGCGACCUCAAGUACUACCAAUUCCCGAAAAAAUUCUUUUCAAAUGUUGAUAUAUUCUGAGUGCUCGGCAGCUGGAUCUCGACGACAACACCAUCAACAGGCAGGGCAGAGCACAAAGGCACAAAGCGAGAGGAAGGAGGCAGUGAGAGGGACACAUUGUCAUGUUUCUCCCUCGCCCAUGAUGGUGGCAGCUCGCAUUGUGGAGGAAAUAUCGACCACGAAUCAAUGGUCUGACAUCCUUAUCACCUCUGCUGGGCCUCAUAGUACGUGGCAAUGUCUCAUUCUUUCAGCGAGGGCUGCUUCUGGGGCUGCAAUGAGAAGAGACUGAAAGGACGUGUGAUGGGGACUGUGAUGGAAUAAGACUGCUACAGAAGGAAAAUGGAGGGACCAGUCCGACUUUCACUCUACGUGUCGUCCUCUCCUUCGCCUUCCACAGCGACUUUACGAGGGUGGGCCGACGCGACGGAUGGGGGCACGUGGCCUUCACGCGAGGUCACGUGGCCACAAUAACGAGGCCCCGCGUUGGCUGAGGUGGACCUGCCGAACUGGGCGAACGGCACCCGAUGGCGUUGGGUAACGACUGGUGCAGGAGGAGAUGAUGUGUUGGGUAGGUGACGAUGCUAUUGAUCGGAAGAAGACUU
Zingiber officinale is the source of this 650-nucleotide long non-coding RNA. RefSeq lists it as uncharacterized. The transcript has 5 exons. The record is from RefSeq and is a predicted model, not a curated record. Lineage: Eukaryota; Viridiplantae; Streptophyta; Magnoliopsida; Zingiberales; Zingiberaceae.